AAAGUGGUCCGGGUGACCGCUUGCCCCGCCUCUGGCGGGGCGGGAGGAAAGUCCGAGCACCGCAGGGCAGGAUGGUCGGUAACGCCGACCGGGGGUGACCCCAGGGAAAGUGCCACAGAGAGCAGACCGCCUGCCAUAGCCUCAUGUCCACCGAAGCCUUGGCGAAGGUGGAUGGCGACGGCAGGUAAGGGUGAAAGGGUGAGGUAAGAGCUCACCAGUGCCAGUGGUGACACCGGCAGCUAGGUAAACCCCAUCCGGUGCAAGGCCAAAUAGGGGAGCGAUAGAGGGCGGCCCGUCCAAGGCUCCCGGGUCGGCCGCUAGAGGCCGCCGGCAACGGCGGUCCCAGAUGAAUGGUCACCCAGCCUUCGCCAUGCUACCGCAUGGUUGCGCCGUGGCAAAUCCUACGGGAACUUGUCACGCCAUGGUCCUGAGCAUAGCGAGGGACGAAGGCGGACAGAACUCGGCUUACAGGGCCGCUUUGCAG
Molecule: RNase P RNA, 484 nt
Filed under: bacterium
Lineage: Bacteria
Description: RNase P RNA component class A
Rfam family: Bacterial RNase P class A
About the family: Ribonuclease P (RNase P) is a ubiquitous endoribonuclease, found in archaea, bacteria and eukarya as well as chloroplasts and mitochondria. Its best characterised activity is the generation of mature 5'-ends of tRNAs by cleaving the 5'-leader elements of precursor-tRNAs. Cellular RNase Ps are ribonucleoproteins.
Source: RNAcentral